AUAUGGCUCAGAUGAACGCUGGCGGCAGGCCUAACACAUGCAAGUCGAACGGUAACAGGAAACAGCUUGCUGUUCGCUGACGAGUGGCGGACGGGUGAGUAAUGUCUGGGAAACUGCCUGAUGGAGGGGGAUAACUACUGGAAACGGUAGCUAAUACCGCAUAACGUCGCAAGACCAAAGAGGGGGACCUUCGGGCCUCUUGCCAUCGGAUGUGCCCAGAUGGGAUUAGCUUGUUGGUGGGGUAACGGCUCACCAAGGCGACGAUCCCUAGCUGGUCUGAGAGGAUGACCAGCCACACUGGAACUGAGACACGGUCCAGACUCCUACGGGAGGCAGCAGUGGGGAAUAUUGCACAAUGGGCGCAAGCCUGAUGCAGCCAUGCCGCGUGUAUGAAGAAGGCCUUCGGGUUGUAAAGUACUUUCAGCGGGGAGGAAGGGAGUAAAGUUAAUACCUUUGCUCAUUGACGUUACCCGCAGAAGAAGCACCGGCUAACUCCGUGCCAGCAGCCGC
Molecule: ribosomal RNA, 510 nt
Filed under: uncultured bacterium
Lineage: Bacteria
Description: bacterial SSU rRNA
Rfam family: Bacterial small subunit ribosomal RNA
Source: RNAcentral